UGUGCUCAAAGCGCGCUCUCGCAGGCAUGUUUUAAUGUUUGGAAAAGCUACAGUUCUGGGAAGAUCACACACAAGUCGGUACAGUUAACGCUAGGUGGCGCGCGCUAACAUAUUUUGGUGUUCGCAUCAUAUAUGAGAGAAGUGUCCCAGCAGCAAACAUGUACCACAGCUGGACCCUGGAGCUGGAACAACCAACUUAAACCAGCCUUGACUAAUAGCUUUAAGCUCUCAGUCCACAGAUGGAUGAGGUGCUGAGAGCUGCUUCCCAUCACAAACAUGCAGAAAAAUUGACAGAAUACAACUUUAAAGAGAUGGAUCCCAGUCGUGCCGUCCCGGUGCCACCUGAGGCUGACUGUGCACCGCCGAGCGCUUCCUGCUGGCUCUCUGGACACAGCGAGCCUACAGGAGCCUAUGAGCAGUGCCUGUUCCAGACUUUUCCAUCCUGCUGUCUCUUCUCCCGCUUCACGGUGAAGCUGCCCCGACCAGCUGGUGGAGCUGGGUAGCUGCAGGCUGCCUUGGACCCUGAUCAAGUAUUGAUGUCUGGCUUUCCGUGCUGGCUGACUCACCAAAGAAGAGCUCUACGAGACAAAGACAGAGACGGAGAAGAGCUCCAGAGAGGAUGGUGGUUUCAAAGGAAGCUUGCAUAAAAAUUGAAGACCUAAUUGCACUGUCUUGAGCCAAGAUGCUUUCUCACAUACAUAUUUGAAGAGAACUUUAUCUAACUUUCUAAACCACAUUCAAAUCCCUGUUAGCCCCUUACCAUUCAUUUCCUUCACAUUUGACGUUCAGCAUAUUUCCUGCAAACAAGGGAUCAAUUCUGUCUGGUUGUGGAAGAUUUUACCAGUAGAUGAAAAACAGCAUGAAAUCGCUAACUGUAUGCUACUGUGUGCAAACUAUAUCCUGCCUCAUCAGCGGCAGUUGCUUUGGCAAAGAAGUGUGAGAAACUAAUCAUAGUUGCUGACCUUUUCCAGUCCCAUCAUGCUGUGCAUGGAUAAUCUCCAUGCAGGCUGUUGUCAGUAUGCAUGGGUCAGACGAGGCAGCUAAAGAUCUACAGCUCUCUCUGAGGGGGUUGGGUCAGUUUGUUUUUCUGCUAUCCUGCUUUCUUCUGUGAAGUGAAGCAGUGCUGCUGACUUCUGUUCUCAGGUCCACUGCCGCCACAAACUCAACACAGUUUACCAGUUCUGUGGUACAAUCAGUUAAUGCUCACUGGUUUGUACAGUUGGCUGACCACAUGAAGCCAAAUCUGUUACCUAAUUAUGUGAAUUCCAUGUAUAUAGUUAUGAAGCAAAUGGCCUUCUCUCUCCUGUGUUUAAGUGAGUGUGUGUGUGUGUGUGUGUGUGUGUGUGUGUAAAGGCUCAAAAGUCAGGUAAUUGGCCUUCUCUUUCAAGGGAAACAGCUAGUUCUCAGUGGUUUCAAUAAAUGAGAAUAAAUGAGUAAAUGGCUUUGAUGUUAUAACAUCAAAUCCAUUUACAGCUUUAACCAACAAAUAUAUUUGUUCUGGUCAAAUAUCAUGAAACUUCUGUGCUUCCAGCACUUUUAAAUCUGCCAGAUAUCUGAGAACAAAACUGGGCCGGGUUAUUCUAGAAAAGAACCGCCCCAAUUACGACAUCCGAAAGGUGUAGGUGGAAGGGGUUUCCGAAACCCUUUCGACUAUCCCACAAUCUUAGACAUUUUACCUUUAACGUGUUAGGUGCUAACAUUUUACGAAUUAGCACUAAACACAAAGUGCAGCUGAGGAUAAUGGAAAUGUCUCAAUUUUGUAGGUAUUUCGUCAUAAAUCAAAGUAUUAGACAAAUAACAUUUUUUGACCUGAUGGUGGCGCUAGAUGAAAAGUCAGGGAAUCUUUAAUGAGGUAGACAUAAAUAUAUCUGUGCCAGGUUUCAUGGCAAUCCAUCCAACAGUUGUUGAGACGUUUCAAUUUGGACCAAAGUGUCAGACCUACUUACCAACACUGUCAUCCAUAGAGCCAUGCCGCUAGCGUGGCUAAAAAUGGUGUAUUAUAUUCAUUAUCUGCCCAAAAUCAGGUAUUUCAGUCAGGCUUUUAUCAGUCUUUUUUUAAUAACAACUAAUAGAAACUAAAACACCACACAUAAGCUUCAGCUUCUGGCUUGUGUAUGUACAUGUUCUCUUUUAUAUGGAAUUCACAUUCUUCUUCUCAUGUCAUCAUAUUUUGAAAUGAGCAGUGUAUUGCAUCUUGGUUUGUUUUUGUUUACUUUAGUAUCAAACAAGUUUCUAUACUUUUAGAAAUGUUAUACUUUUUUUUUUUACACUUAUGGUACUUUUGUAAUAUCAUGCGUAUUCAAAGCAUUUUGUGUCUCAUCAUGUCCUACUGCGGUUAAUUUU
Molecule: long non-coding RNA, 2343 nt
Organism: Siniperca chuatsi (mandarin fish)
Lineage: Eukaryota; Metazoa; Chordata; Actinopteri; Centrarchiformes; Sinipercidae
Exons: 4
Source: RefSeq, a predicted model, not a curated record